RNAcentral lists this unclassified non-coding RNA (4670 nucleotides) under Hevea brasiliensis (rubber tree). The record is from RNAcentral. Lineage: Eukaryota; Viridiplantae; Streptophyta; Magnoliopsida; Malpighiales; Euphorbiaceae.
GAAUGGUCAGACGAUGAAAGAGAAAGGUGAAGUUGAAGAGGCUGCUGCGAAGUGUAUUCGUAGAAGAGGUAGAAAGAAAGGAAGCAGAAAUGGCGGCAAAGUUGCUGGCUUAAAUCAGAAACAAAAUGCUUUUGUGGCUGAGAAAGGAGCAGAAGACGGUGAGGAAUUGCAAGACAGUGUUGGAAAAGAUGGUGAGAAGUGGGACAAUAUGGGGAGACAGAGAACUCUAGAUUUGAAAAAUGAAGUUUUUCUGAAGCAGGACGAAGAAGUUGUAACGCCUGGGAAUGAGGGAACUGAUAUGGUAAAUCAGGAGAAUGGUGGUUCUAUCGAAGUCAACGAAAAUUCUUACAGGAAGAAACUGAGAGCUAAUGAAAAGAUGGUGAGCUAUGCUGAGAAAGGUGAAGAAGAUGAAGAGGUUUCAGUCAGGAAGAAGCGUGGUAGAAAGAGCAGGAAGGUGGCUAAAGUCACAGGAAAAGAGGGUUCAGAAAUAGAGACAGUUAAUGAAAAUGGAGAUUUAGCUGAAGGAAACGGAAAGGAAGUGACAAAAAGAGGGCGAAAGAAGCAUAAGAAGGAGAGGAAUGAUGGUAAAAGGGAAUCUCUGACAAUCAACGGUGGCAUGGUUAAUUCGUUGCGGCAAGAUGCGAAGGAGCUUGAAAUUAACCAGCAAAGUGACGAGGUUCUAACUUGAUGUAUCUUGUGGAUCGUUAAUAUUGCCUAUUUGUUAUUCUUGGAGGUUUGUGUUUCUGAUUUUUGGGUUUGCAGUUUAUUGCGGAGCUUUGCUUAACUAACUGCCAUCAGUGCAAGAGGAAUGAUAAAGGUUCUGUUGUUUGUUGCCAGAAAUGCGAGACGAAGCGUUACUGCAUCCCCUGCUUGACUAACUGGUAUCCUAAGAUGACAAUGGAUGAAGUUGCUGCUGCUUGUCCAGUUUGUCGCGGAAAUUGCAAUUGUAAAGCUUGCUUGCGUGAUACACCAAAUGAAUUCCUGAAUAAACUCAAGAAAAUGGUCGGCACUGAUGAUAGAAAAGUACUGCAUUCAAAGUAUUUGGUCCAAGCACUUCUCCCAUACCUGAAACAGUUGAAUGAAGAACAAAUGAUGGAGAGAAAGAUUGAAGCUAGGAAACAAGGUGUAUCACUUGCAGAGUUACAGAUACAAAAUGCUAAUUGUCCUACGGAUGAACGCAUUUAUUGCGACAACUGUAGAACCUCCAUAUUUGAUUAUCACAGAAGUUGUUCAAACUGCUUUUCUGAUCUUUGCCUUAUCUGUUGUCGGGAGAUUCGUGACGGACACCUAAAGGGUGGAGGCCAAGAGGUGGUUGUGGAGUAUAUUAACAGAGGGUUUGAUUAUUUACAUGGCGGAAAGAGUGAAGUUAUUUUACAAGAUGAGGUGUUACUUGGAGCUAGCUCUAAGGAUCCUCCAAGGUCAAACUUUGGAUGGAAAAAAAAUGAAGAUGGAAGCAUUGUUUGUCGUUGCGGUUUUAGCAACCUGGAAUUGAAAUGUUUGUUCUCAGGAAAUUGGUCUCUAGAGUUAAUGAAGAGAGCAGAAGAUGUUGCACGAAGAUAUGAACUUGACAUGGCUACAAUUCCUGUUGAGCGAUGUGCAUGUUUUAAUUCCUUAGGGGAUGUUGACAUGGGAAGUAAUGAGUUGCUAAAAGCAGCAUCUCGAGAGAAUUCUGAUGACAAUUAUUUAUACUAUCCAAGGGCCAUCAAUAUCAAAGAGGAGGAUUUGAAGCAUUUUCAAUACCAUUGGAUGAGAGCUGAACCUGUGGUAGUUAGUAAUGUUCUUGAAACUGGAACUGGCUUAAGUUGGGAGCCAACGGUCAUGUGGCGUGCCUUCCGCCAGAUAAGAAAUGAAAAACGUGACACACUUUUGGAUGUGAAGGCCAUUGAAUGUUUAGCAUGGUGUGAGGUAGAUAUUAAUGUUCACCAAUUCUUUACUGGAUACUUGGACGGUCGGUUUGACACAAAGAUGUGGCCUCAGAUACUGAAAUUGAAAGACUGGCCUCCAUCUACUAUGUUUGAUGAACUUAUGCCACGACAUGGUGCUGAAUUUACAUUUUGUUUGCCCUUUAAGGAGUACACACAUCCUCAUAAAGGACCUUUGAACCUUGCUGUCCGAUUACCUAAGAAGUCUUUAAAGCCAGAUAUGGGGCCAAAGACAUAUAUUGCUUAUGGUUGUGCUCAAGAGCUUGGACGUGGAGAUUCUGUUACCAAGCUUCAUUGUGACAUGUCUGAUGCAGUGAAUGUUUUAACACAUACAGCUGAAGUGACCCUUGGUCGUACACAACUUGCUACUAUAGAACAAUUGAAAAAAUUACACAGAGAGCAAGACCAAAGAGAAAUUUUUGGAAACAAUCAGGUUGUAGAGGAGGAUAUUGAUGGCAAAAUGCACGGUAGUUUUUGUGGCAGCUUACCGACUACUGAUAAGGAAACUGGGGAAGUUGACAACCAAACUGAGGAUUCUCAGUUUACUGAUUGUGCCUUUUCAAGUAAAUCAGAGUUGAAAAUUAGCAAGCAGGCAGAAGUAUUUCAAGAUAAAUUAGAGCUGAAAUGUUGCGAGGCAGAUGCUGUUCAAGGUAGAGGCACUGAGAAUAGUGGGCCAUCAAGUUCUGGAAAUGUGUCAUUGCGGUCAGAUGAGGGAGGUGCUGUUUGGGACAUUUUCCGAAGAGAAGAUGUUCCUAAGUUGCAGGAAUAUCUUAGCAAACACUUCAAAGAAUUUAGGCACAUUCACUGUUGCCCAUUGCAGAAGGUAUUUUGAUGGAAUAAUAAAUAUGGCUAUGUAUGGUUCUUUUCCAUUGAAUUAUGUCUUAUAAUUUUUAAUUUGUGCUUCUUCCAAUCAAGGUUUUUGCGUCAAUGCUGUCAAAAUAAUUGCACUAAAGAAAGAUAAAUUAAUCACUGUAAUUGAUUAUUAAAAAAUUGUGAACUACAACUUUUAAAGAAGUCCUAGUGUUUCAUCCUUAAUUAAAUAAUUAUUGUGCAAUAAUGCUUUGGGAAGCUAUUUUACAGUAAUGCUAUUGAAAUGGUGUGGUAAAUAUUUUCAAAUGGGUGGCUGUCUAUGGGCAAGUGGAAGUUAUGAAUUGGAUGACAAAGUUGGGAAUUAUGAUGACUUACAGUGCAAAUUAGGGACUUGUUGAAGUUAAAUGAACUAAGCCAAUUAAUUGCUGCAUGUGUUGUGGUGGCCAUUGCUUUUUUGAUCUUUUUCUUUGCAAGCUACUGUUUCUUCUUCUGUAGGUUGUUCAUCCUAUACAUGAUCAGACCUUUUAUUUGACUCUAGAGCAUAAGAGGAAGCUGAAAGAGGAAUAUGCUAUUGAGCCAUGGACAUUUGUCCAGAAGCUUGGAGAUGCGGUCUUUAUUCCUGCAGGUUGUCCUCAUCAAGUGCGAAACUUGAAGGUAAAAUAAAAUUUAUAUUUAGCAUUUGUUUGGGCAUCAAAAAAUUUAAAUUAUGAUAAUCUUGACAAGAUUCCAGGGAACUUCUCAAAUUUUUAUCAUUUAGCUUUUAAGAAUUUUGUUGUUCAAUGAGGUACAAUGAGGUUUGCUUCCUUCAUGUGUUUGUUAUAAGGUGCUAAGUGUCAUGCAUGUACCAGAAAGACAUUGCUUUUAGGAAUCAAAUGAUUUCAAGUUGAAAAUUGACGAGUGUGGCAUGUUGCAUUCAUUUUGUUCGUGUUGACUCAUCUUUGGACAUCAUCAUUGAAUGUUUUUGCACAUUUUCAAGCAUCAUAAGGGGUUUCUUAAAUAAUUUCUGAAGCAUUUGCUAAUUUCAUGCUCAAGUAAAUCCAUAUAUUUGUUUAUUUUGUCAAUUGGCUUGCCCCAGGUGGCGUGCAUGUGUAUGCAUGAUAAAGUGUCUCUUAACAAUUGUUUCCAUAUGUUAUAGUCAUGUAUAAAGGUAGCAUUGGACUUUGUUUCACCGGAAAACGUUGGUGAGUGUAUCCGUUUGACAGAGGAAUUCCGUUUACUUCCCCCAAAUCAUUGGGCUAAAGAAGACAAGUUGGAGGUAUAACUUGCUUCUAGAUUAUAAUUCUUAUCUAAUAUGCAUUUUAUGUUGUGUUAUCACACAGUGGUGGUAGAAUUGUUGAAACAGUGCUGAUAUGAUUCUUUGUGCUGUGUAUUUUUUCUUGGUCUAGUACUGAUUUUUUUCUUUAUCCGGCUUCAUAAUGGAAAAGAAAAGUUCUUGUACUUCAUGAUUUGGUAGCUAGCUGCUAUUUUAAUUCCAUAGUUUGUGUGGUACGUCCCUGAUAUGCAUAUUGUAGGGUUAUUUUGUUAUCAGCAGAGGUCAGCUGUUGCUAAAUUCUAACAUAUUUUGUGGUUUGAGAAAUUAAGUUUUAAUUGGAACUUUAAUUGGACUCAAUAAGAUUUGGGCUGAAACUGGACUGUGCAGGCUGAACAGAUGUCAUGAACAGUACCAAGGGCCUGUUUUUCAAGUCACACAAAGGACUUUGAGUUUCACAUAGCAGAGAAAUUCUUGGUGCACCACUAACAUAAUCUAUGGACAUGUAUUGAAAUUCAACUUUAUGUCUUUUGCUUUCUAGAAAGUCUUUUCUAUUGAGGCGGAGCUAGAAAUUUGAUUCAGUGGAGUAAAAAAUUUUUGUUUUGCUUAAUUCAAAGAAAAAAAUUAUAUACAAUAAUAAAUUAUUCAUUAAGAGAAAAAUUCGAAAUUUUCACUAUGUAAUAAUAAUU